RNAcentral lists this ribosomal RNA (496 nucleotides) under uncultured bacterium. Its description in RNAcentral is "bacterial SSU rRNA". It matches the Rfam family "Bacterial small subunit ribosomal RNA", at positions 15 to 507 of the family's 1533-position model. The record is from RNAcentral.
GAUCCUGGCUCAGAUUGAACGCUGGCGGCAUGCCUUACACAUGCAAGUCGAACGGCAGCACGGACUUCGGUCUGGUGGCGAGUGGCGAACGGGUGAGUAAUGUAUCGGAACGUACCUUUCAGUGGGGAUAACGUAGCGAAAGUUACGCUAAUACCGCAUAUUCUGUGAGCAGGAAAGCAGGGGAUCGCAAGACCUUGCGCUGAUUGAGCGGCCGAUAUCAGAUUAGCUAGUUGGUGAGGUAAAGGCUCACCAAGGCGACGAUCUGUAGCGGGGUCUGAGAGGAUGAUCCGCCACACUGGAACUGAGACACGGUCCAGACUCCUACGGGAGGCAGCAGUGGGGAAUUUUGGACAAUGGGGCAACCCUGAUCCAGCCAUGCCGCGUGAGUGAAGAAGGCCUUCGGGUUGUAAAGCUCUUUCGGCCGGGAAGAAAUCGCACGGGCUAAUACCCUGUGCGGAUGACGGUACCGGCAUAAGAAGCACCGGCUAACUACGUG